Molecule: unclassified non-coding RNA, 446 nt
Filed under: Zea mays
Lineage: Eukaryota; Viridiplantae; Streptophyta; Magnoliopsida; Poales; Poaceae
Description: misc RNA Zm00001eb174230
Source: RNAcentral
UAUAGUGUUAUGAUAGAUUGUGCUAUGUAUGAUGAAGGUAACCCAAUCAUGGAUUGGUUGUGCAACUCAAGGAGUGAGUCUACGCCUAUUCUUGAUGAGUAUGAUGACAAUGAGCUUGAAUCCCCAAUCCCAUCUAGAGUUCUCAUGGAUGAGUUAGGAAUGGAUGUAGAAGUGACCGCAUUGAAGAGGAAGCUUGAUUUUAAUACAAGAGAAGGUAAGAAGAAAAGAAAGGCAGGACUUGUUGAUAUUGAGGAAGAAAUUGAGGAUGAUGUUGAGUCAGAUUCUUCAGAUGGUAGCCCAAUAAAUGUUGAAUUAUGUGAUAGCAGUUCAGAUGAUGAUGGCACAGGUGAUGAGUUUGGUGACGAAUGGGAAUUUAGAGGACCUAGUGGUGGUGGAGCAUGUGAAGUUGGACCUAGUGGUGGUGGAGCAUGUGAUGUUGGACCUAG